RNAcentral lists this ribosomal RNA (429 nucleotides) under Bacteroidota bacterium. Its description in RNAcentral is "Bacteroidetes bacterium partial 16S ribosomal RNA". It matches the Rfam family "Bacterial small subunit ribosomal RNA", at positions 355 to 776 of the family's 1533-position model. Lineage: Bacteria; Pseudomonadati; Bacteroidota. The record is from RNAcentral.
UAGGGAAUCUUCCGCAAUGGACGCAAGUCUGACGGAGCAACGCCGCGUGAGUGAAGAAGGAUUUCGGUUCGUAAAACUCUGUUGUUAGAGAAGAACAGCGCAUAGAGUAACUGUUAUGCGUGUGACGGUAUCUAACCAGAAAGCCACGGCUAACUACGUGCCAGCAGCCGCGGUAAUACGUAGGUGGCAAGCGUUGUCCGGAUUUAUUGGGCGUAAAGCGAGCGCAGGCGGUCAAUUAAGUCUGAUGUGAAAGCCCCCGGCUCAACCGGGGAGGGUCAUUGGAAACUGGUUGACUUGAGUGCAGAAGAGGAGAGUGGAAUUCCAUGUGUAACGGUGAAAUGCGUAGAUAUAUGGAGGAACACCAGUGGCGAAGGCGACCCUCUGGUCUGUAACUGACGCUGAGGCUCGAAAGCGUGGGUAGCAAACAGG